RNAcentral lists this ribosomal RNA (460 nucleotides) under uncultured bacterium. Its description in RNAcentral is "partial 16S ribosomal RNA". It matches the Rfam family "Bacterial small subunit ribosomal RNA", at positions 338 to 795 of the family's 1533-position model. The record is from RNAcentral.
CCUACGGGAGGCUGCAGUGAGGAAUAUUGGUCAAUGGACGAGAGUCUGAACGAGCCAAGUAGCGUGAAGGAUGACUGCCCUAUGGGUUGUAAACUUCUUUUAUAUGGGAAUAAAAUGUUCCACGUGUGGGAUUUUGUAUGUACCAUAUGAAUAAGGAUAGGCUAACUCCGUGCCAGCAGCCGCGGUAAUACGGAGGAUCCGAGCGUUAUCCGGAUUUAUUGGGUUUAAAGGGAGCGUAGGUGGAUUGUUAAGUCAGUUGUGAAAGUUUGCGGCUCAACCGUAAAAUUGCAGUUGAAACUGGCAGUCUUGAGUACAGUAGAGGUGGGCGGAAUUCGUGGUGUAGCGGUGAAAUGCUUAGAUAUCACGAAGAACUCCGAUUGCGAAGGCAGUUCACUGGACUGCAACUGACACUGAGGCUCGAAAGUGUGGGUAUCAAACAGGAUUAGAUACCCGUGUAGUC